GUGGGGAAUAUUGGGCAAUGGGCGAAAGCCUGACCCAGCAACGCCGCGUGAAGGAAGAAGGUUUUCGGAUCGUAAACUUCUAUCCUUGGUGAAGAUAAUGACGGUAGCCAAGAAGGAAGCCCCGGCUAACUACGUGCCAGCAGCCGCGGUAAUACGUAGGGGGCAAGCGUUGUCCGGAAUGAUUGGGCGUAAAGGGCGCGUAGGCGGCCUGGUAAGUCUGGAGUGAAAGUCCUGCUGUUAAGGUGGGAAUUGCUUUGGAUACUGUCGGGCUUGAGUGCAGGAGAGGUAAGUGGAAUUCCCGGUGUAGCGGUGAAAUGCGUAGAGAUCGGGAGGAACACCAGUGGCGAAGGCGACUUACUGGACUGUAACUGACGCUGAGGCGCGAAAGUGUGGGGAGCAAACAGGAUUAGAUACCCCGGUAGUCC
RNAcentral lists this ribosomal RNA (425 nucleotides) under uncultured bacterium. RNAcentral describes it as "partial 16S ribosomal RNA". It matches the Rfam family "Bacterial small subunit ribosomal RNA", at positions 354 to 796 of the family's 1533-position model. The record is from RNAcentral.